Molecule: ribosomal RNA, 253 nt
Filed under: uncultured bacterium
Lineage: Bacteria
Description: partial 16S ribosomal RNA
Rfam family: Bacterial small subunit ribosomal RNA
Source: RNAcentral
UACGUAGGGUGCGAGCGUUGUCCGGAAUUAUUGGGCGUAAAGGGCUCGUAGGCGGUUUGUCACGUCGGGAGUGAAAACUCAGGGCUUAACCCUGAGCCUGCUUCCGAUACGGGCAGACUAGAGGUAUGCAGGGGAGAAUGGAAUUCCUGGAGUAGCGGUGAAAUGCGUAGAGACCCGGAGGAACACCAGUGGCGAAGGCGGCGUCCUGGCCUGCGACUGACGCUGUGGCGCGAAAGCUAGGGGAGCGAACGGG